ACGCUAGCGGCAGGCCUAAUACAUGCAAGACGAACGGCAAGAUUUUCAGCAAUGAGGAUCCUAGAGUGUCGUAAGGGUGCGUAACACGUAUGCAAUCUGCCCUGUACAGGAGGAUAGCUCCCCGAAAGGGGAAUUAACACUCCAUAAGAUCACGAGAGGGCAUCUGAUUGUGAUUAAAACUGAGGUGGUACAGGAUGAGCAUGCGCAUGAUUAGUUAGUUGGCGGGGUAAAGGCCCACCAAGACGAUGAUCAUUAGGGGAACUGAGAGGUUGAUCCCCCACACUGGCACUGAGAUACGGGCCAGACUCCUACGGGAGGCAGCAGUAGGGAAUAUUGGACAAUGGGUGAGAGCCUGAUCCAGCCAUGCCGCGUGCAGGAAGAAAGCCUUCUGGGUUGUAAACUGCUUUUGCCAGGGGAUAAAAACACUAUGCGUAGUGGAUUGAAGGUACCUGGUGAAUAAGCCACGGCUAACUACGUGCCAGCAGCCGCGGUAAU
Molecule: ribosomal RNA, 495 nt
Filed under: uncultured bacterium
Lineage: Bacteria
Description: bacterial SSU rRNA
Rfam family: Bacterial small subunit ribosomal RNA
Source: RNAcentral